GUGUGCGCGCGUGUGUGUGUGUUUCCUGCUACAGGUGCUUGGAUCUGCUCCUGCUCGCGUGAAGAAAUGGUGGAGAGCACCACACUGCGUGCCUGAACAGCAAAGAUCUGGAAGUAGACCACGAAUACUACAAGAGGAGAUAACUUGUUCUAGAUCAGAAACAUUUCUCAACUGCUGCUG
This is a long non-coding RNA of Nematolebias whitei (Rio pearlfish), 180 nucleotides long. RefSeq lists it as uncharacterized. NCBI's taxonomy places the organism in Eukaryota, Metazoa, Chordata, Actinopteri, Cyprinodontiformes, Rivulidae. The transcript is spliced from 3 exons. The record is from RefSeq and is a predicted model, not a curated record.